Molecule: ribosomal RNA, 253 nt
Filed under: uncultured bacterium
Lineage: Bacteria
Description: partial 16S ribosomal RNA
Rfam family: Bacterial small subunit ribosomal RNA
Source: RNAcentral
UACGAAGGGGGCGAGCGUUGUUCGGAUUUACUGGGCGUAAAGAGCGCGCAGGCGGUCGUUCAAGUCGCGUGUGAAAGCCCCCGGCUCAACUGGGGAGGGUCACGCGAUACUGAUCGACUGGAGGGCAGGAGAGGGUAGUGGAAUUCCCGGUGUAGUGGUGAAAUGCGUAGAUAUCGGGAGGAACACCAGUGGCGAAGGCGACUACCUGGCCUGUUCUUGACGCUGAGGCGCGAAAGCUAGGGGAGCAAACGGG